GGGCGAUUAGCUCAGUUGGCAGAGCGUUCCCUUCACACGGGAGAGGUGACAGGUUCGAAUCCUGUAUCGCCCACAA
Molecule: transfer RNA, 76 nt
Filed under: Patescibacteria group bacterium
Lineage: Bacteria
Description: tRNA-Val
Rfam family: tRNA
About the family: Transfer RNA (tRNA) molecules are approximately 80 nucleotides in length.
Source: RNAcentral